RNAcentral lists this long non-coding RNA (523 nucleotides) under Trifolium pratense (red clover). RNAcentral's name for it is "long non-coding RNA (TPRA_LNC002756)". The record is from RNAcentral. Lineage: Eukaryota; Viridiplantae; Streptophyta; Magnoliopsida; Fabales; Fabaceae.
CCAAUCAAACAAACAGAACUCACACCUGCCGGCCUCGAAAGUAUCGAAGUAAAGGAACCUCAAAACCUUUUUUUAUUUUUGACAGAAAAAAAACCUCAAAACCUUAACAAGGCAAUAAACCAAACAAAAAACACUGUACUACAUUGUUCUUCCUAUAAAUACAUUCCUCAGUGUUUUUAUCACUCAUUUUGUUUCGUUUCAUUUUCAUUACACACUCACUUUGUUUCCUCCGUCAUUCCUUAGAUCUCAGAUCUCUCUCUAAUGGCAUCCAUUACAGGAACCUCCAUGUCCCUUCUCCAAAACCAAUCUAUGGUAUGUAUUACUACUAAUCACCCCUUUUCAUUUUCUUGAUCCUUUCACUCAUUAACUACUUAAACAUUGUUUAGUGGAUCCAUUAAAUCAAAUUUUGUCAUGUUGGUCACAAGAAAGAUUUGAUUUUUAUAUGAUUUUGUCAUGUUGGUCUAAAGAAAGAUUUGAUUUUUUUAUGAUUUUGUUAUGUUGGUCAGAAGAAAGAUUUCAUUUU